UGGGGAAUAUUGGGGAAUGGGGGAAACCCUGACCCAGCGACGCCGCGUGAGGGAAGAAGGCCUUAGGGUCGUAAACCUCUGUUGUGUGGGAAGAAGAGCGUGACGGUACCACACGAGGAAGUCCCGGCUAACUACGUGUCAGCAGCCGCGGUAAUACGUAGGGGACGAGCGUUGUCCGGAUUUACUGGGCGUAAAGGGCGCGUAGGCGGUCAUUUAAGUCAGCUGUGAAAUGGUUUGGCUUAACCGGAUCAUGCGGUUGAAACUGGAUGACUGGAGUGCUGGAGAGGGAAGUGGAAUU
This 298-nucleotide ribosomal RNA is filed under the name uncultured bacterium. Its description in RNAcentral is "partial 16S ribosomal RNA". It matches the Rfam family "Bacterial small subunit ribosomal RNA", at positions 355 to 668 of the family's 1533-position model. The record is from RNAcentral.